RNAcentral lists this ribosomal RNA (899 nucleotides) under Staphylococcus aureus. RNAcentral describes it as "bacterial SSU rRNA". It matches the Rfam family "Bacterial small subunit ribosomal RNA", at positions 76 to 959 of the family's 1533-position model. The record is from RNAcentral. Lineage: Bacteria; Bacillati; Bacillota; Bacilli; Caryophanales; Staphylococcaceae.
AAGCUUGCUUCUCUGAUGUUAGCGGCGGACGGGUGAGUAACACGUGGAUAACCUACCUAUAAGACUGGGAUAACUUCGGGAAACCGGAGCUAAUACCGGAUAAUAUUUUGAACCGCAUGGUUCAAAAGUGAAAGACGGUCUUGCUGUCACUUAUAGAUGGAUCCGCGCUGCAUUAGCUAGUUGGUAAGGUAACGGCUUACCAAGGCAACGAUGCAUAGCCGACCUGAGAGGGUGAUCGGCCACACUGGAACUGAGACACGGUCCAGACUCCUACGGGAGGCAGCAGUAGGGAAUCUUCCGCAAUGGGCGAAAGCCUGACGGAGCAACGCCGCGUGAGUGAUGAAGGUCUUCGGAUCGUAAAACUCUGUUAUUAGGGAAGAACAUAUGUGUAAGUAACUGUGCACAUCUUGACGGUACCUAAUCAGAAAGCCACGGCUAACUACGUGCCAGCAGCCGCGGUAAUACGUAGGUGGCAAGCGUUAUCCGGAAUUAUUGGGCGUAAAGCGCGCGUAGGCGGUUUUUUAAGUCUGAUGUGAAAGCCCACGGCUCAACCGUGGAGGGUCAUUGGAAACUGGAAAACUUGAGUGCAGAAGAGGAAAGUGGAAUUCCAUGUGUAGCGGUGAAAUGCGCAGAGAUAUGGAGGAACACCAGUGGCGAAGGCGACUUUCUGGUCUGUAACUGACGCUGAUGUGCGAAAGCGUGGGGAUCAAACAGGAUUAGAUACCCUGGUAGUCCACGCCGUAAACGAUGAGUGCUAAGUGUUAGGGGGUUUCCGCCCCUUAGUGCUGCAGCUAACGCAUUAAGCACUCCGCCUGGGGAGUACGACCGCAAGGUUGAAACUCAAAGGAAUUGACGGGGACCCGCACAAGCGGUGGAGCAUGUGGUUUAAUUCGAAGCAA